GCCCCCACGACUGCUUAGCUUCUGGAAACCGUCCCAGGAGCACUUGACUAUCACCCUCAAGCAAGGAGCAAAUCCCGGAGACAGAUGUGUCCCGCAGGAGCUGGAACAGAAGUCCAGGACCACAGCACAGGUAUCAGGAAGAGCAACUACUAAAACAUAGCAACAGCACAGCUGAUUAAAAGCCACUCUCAUGAAGAUAUUUAUUUGGAAUAUAGAAUGAAUAACUAUUGAAUACUUGACCGUGACAUGUAAUAAUCAUUGAGUGACCGGCCCAUUGCUGACGAUGUUCUAAGUUCUCCGCAUGGACAUUGUCUUGUUUCAGCUGCAUGACUACACAACCUGUUUGACAGGCUGGUGCUGAAGCCAGACGACUCGUGCCAUGAUGCGGGUGUGAAAAUGCUGGCUCUGGUGUGCAAAGAGCCUCACAGCAUCCAACCUAAAGGAAACAAGCAAGGACUUCCAAGGAAGAGAGAGUCUAAAGACCAGUGAGAGUCAGAAUGGCUACUAUAGAGAAUAUACCGGCUCCUGGUACUGAGGGCAUCUGGCGAUGAAAGGAGACAGAGACAGAGACCCACACUGGAGCACCAGACUGAAAUCUCAAGGUCCAAAUCAGGAGCAGAAGGAGAAAGAGCACGAGCAAGGAACUCAGGACCGCGAGGGGUGCACCCACACACUGAUACAAUGGGGAUGUUCUAUCAGGAACUCACCAAGGCCAGCUGGCUUGGGUCUGAAAUUGCAUGGGAUAAAACCGGACUCGCUGAACAUAGCGGACAAUGAGGACUACUGAGAACUCAAGAACAAUGGCAAUGGGUUUUUGAUCCUAUUGUAUGUACUGGCUUUGUGGGAGCCUAGGCAGUUUGGAUGCUCACCUUACUAGACCUGGAUGGAGGUGGGUGGUCCUUGGACUUCCCACAGGGCAGGGAACCCUGAUUGCUCUUAGGGCUG
Long non-coding RNA from Chionomys nivalis (European snow vole), 945 nucleotides. RefSeq lists it as uncharacterized. The transcript is spliced from 4 exons. The record is from RefSeq and is a predicted model, not a curated record. Lineage: Eukaryota; Metazoa; Chordata; Mammalia; Rodentia; Cricetidae.